CGUCUCAGUUUACAUUUAAACCAAUAAACCAAUAAUUUUAUUAUCCUUGAGAACAUAUUAACAAAAAUUCUACUCAAAGAUAUUCUUAAUUCUCGAGAAGCCUUUAUUCACUUGAUUAACACGAUAAACUUUUCAUGUUUAUUGUAAAGCUAAAAUUCUUAAAACUGAAAAAACAUGCAAGAGGAAAAUCCACUCCAGUUGUGCAGUCAAAUGCAGAACAUCUCCACUCCAGAGUCGAUGUGGCAGAGCAGAGGAUUCUUCAUCAGAUUAGAGAGCUCUUCAAUUAUAAAAGGGUUUUAGAGGUUAACUCUGUCAGCGUUGUUGGAUUAGUUUUACAGCUGAAGCAUGCAAUUUGGACUCGCAAUUAAUGAUGAAGUGCGCUGUCUGCUAGUGCAAUGUUCUUUUCAAGGACUUCUUUGUGCCAAGAUUUGAAUUGCAUUAAUAUUUGUGAAUACGAUGAUCUGUAAAUGUAUGUUUACUUAGGUAAAUGGAGCAACUGCUGCUGAAUUACUCUUGACCUAGCUGCAAACAACAAAGCACGCAGUACUAUAUGUAGAAGUUUCUAAAUGUCCAUAUGUUUCAAUCUUAAAAGGUACUAUCAAGGUACUGUUUUGUCGGAAAUCAAUUGCAAGUAGUUGCAGUCACCAUCUGGUCACCCAGAGGUUCAUUGGACUUUACUCUGAAUCGCUCUGCGACAACUUUCGAUCACAAGGUGAUUAUAUAGGUGUCAUGGUCCCUGUGCCUCCCCGGCCAGCCCAGUGUGACCACAAGUGUUUGUUGUUUCUCUCUCUCUCUCUCUCUCCCCUACCUGUCUGCCUGGGCGGAGCUCUGACUGGGCUCCCGCCCUUGGCCCACGCACCUGCAGCUGAUCUCGAGUGAUUUGCAGUGGAUCUCUGGGUCUUCUUAAGGCUGGGGCUCUGAGCUAUUCGUCGCUGGAAUAUUGAGUAACCUCGGAAUCCCUUUCCCUUGGUGCCCUGGGUGUGCUUAGUUGCUGAUGUGCGGUGUUUCUGGAUUCCCUCGUGUGUGAAGAGCCCCUUUCCCGGAUUCCCCUGUGCCCUGGAUCCCCCUUGCCCUCUCACCUGUAUAUAGUCGCACCUGGUGUCGUGUAUCAAUAAAAGGAACUGUAUUUUA
Molecule: long non-coding RNA, 1131 nt
Organism: Oreochromis niloticus (Nile tilapia)
Lineage: Eukaryota; Metazoa; Chordata; Actinopteri; Cichliformes; Cichlidae
Exons: 2
Source: RefSeq, a predicted model, not a curated record